RNAcentral lists this unclassified non-coding RNA (267 nucleotides) under Hevea brasiliensis (rubber tree). The record is from RNAcentral. Lineage: Eukaryota; Viridiplantae; Streptophyta; Magnoliopsida; Malpighiales; Euphorbiaceae.
AUUAGUCUUGCUGCAUUAAACAAGGUUAGUACGUACUUACGUAGUAUGGUACUAUUUUUCUAUUUUGUGUUCUUUUUAGCAGUUCGUACCCAAUUAGAUGUUGAAAUUAAAUGCAAAUCUUAAUACAUUUAACUAAUUUCUGUUGAUUUCUGAUCAUAGUAGUUGAAGUAAUCAAUACUAGACAUCAACCAAAGAAUGCAAUUAAAAAUAUUAAUUGGUAUUUCAACUUGUUACAUACAAAUUAAACAGAAAAAAAAAAAAAAAAAA